Non-coding RNA from Pimephales promelas (fathead minnow), 716 nucleotides. The record is from RefSeq and is a predicted model, not a curated record. Lineage: Eukaryota; Metazoa; Chordata; Actinopteri; Cypriniformes; Leuciscidae.
GUGGAAUAUCAGGAUAAAAACACCUACAGCUGUGUGCUGAACAAUCCCAUCAGCAACCAGACCACACAUCUGGACAUCAACACACUCUGCAGACACACAUGUGCAGUGUCCGUGUCUCUGAUAGUGUUGAUCUGUUCUGCUGCUGCCGGAUCUCUGUUGAUUGUUGUUGCAGUCGUGAUCUGCUGCAUCUGCAGGAAACGUAGAAAAACGUUUCAUACCCGGGAAGAAGACAGAAAUAAGUCAGCAUCCUGUAAACAAAAAAGGAAAAAAAUGAAAUCAAAGGAGGCUGUGUAUGAAAAUGUCCUCAAAAAACGAUGAUCAAAUACCAUCUUCUGGAAUAAAUGUUAGAGCUCUCUGGCCUUGACUCACCUCAUAGUUCACAUUAAUUUUCUGCCAGGAUGUUUUAACUUUAUUUUCAUACUUUUUAUAUUCUCGUGUAUUAUUGUAAUGUAUGAAAUUGUGUUUUCUGUAAUAGUUUAUUUUAGUGGUUCACGAAUAGCAUUGCAUCCAGAAACUCAACUAAACAAUCCAUAGCUUACAUGUGACUUUAUUGUCAAUAUUAUUUAUUUACAUAUUUUAUUGUGUUUCAUUGUAUUUGCCCAUUUACUGUAAAUCAGCGACUUCUUUCUUUCUUGACCGGUCAGUGUAUACACAUUUACACAAUUGAUGAUAAACAAACCCUUACAUUAUUAUAAUAAAACCUAUUAAUAAACGUG